Molecule: non-coding RNA, 1493 nt
Organism: Camelus dromedarius (Arabian camel)
Lineage: Eukaryota; Metazoa; Chordata; Mammalia; Artiodactyla; Camelidae
Source: the annotation of a RefSeq genome assembly
GUCUCCCAGCAGGGAGCAGGCUGCCUGGGGCUGGGCUGUCCUCAGGCUGUGGCCCCACCGGUGACCAGCGCUGGCCUGUGGGUGCUCGGCUCCUGGGCUUCACCUCUUCAAGGAGGGAGCUUGGAAUUGUGGAGAGAGGAGGCAGCCCGGCCAAGAAGUGAGCCACAAGCCUGCGGAGCCCGGAGGCCACCCCGUGAUGCCCAGCACCUCCCCCGGACCGCACUAAGGAGGCUGUAUCUCGAGGGACCCGUGGAACUGAUGGGGAUGCUACACACACGGCCAAGAACAGACCACCCCCUUCCUGUCCCCACCCAACUCGGGAACCCGCCUUCAUCCUCGGCGGGCGGUAUUGGCCAUCAGACGCCCCAGCGCACAGCCCUCACCAUGGACUGGAGCUGUGGAGCCCCCUUCCUGGUGACAGUGGCUGCAGGUUCCCACUCGCAGGUCCAGAUGGUGCAGCCAGGGCUGAGCUGAGGAAGCCUGGGGCUUCAAUGAAGGUCUCCUGCAAGGCUUCUGGAUACACCUUCACCAGCUACUACAUAGACUGGGUGCGACAGGCCCCUGGACAAGGGCUUGGGUGGGUGGGAAGAACUGACCCUGAAGACGGUGAAACAAAGUAUGCACAGAAGUUCCAGGGCAGAGUCACCUUGACUGCAGACACGUCCACCAGCACAGCCUACGUGGAGCUGAGCAGUCUGAGAUCUGAGGACACGGCCGUGUGUUACUGUGCGAGAGACACAGUGUGACCACCCACGUCCUGAGUGUGACAGAAACCCUGAGGGACAGGGAGGCUGGGCUUGGCCGAGAUGAUGACAAAGCCACUUAGGUGGCUGCUGCCAUAGAAAGUGGGGCCAAGUGAUCGUUAAAAAGGAACAAUAGAAACGCGUACAUCCUAAUGACAUCGAAGCUGCCAUGAAACCCUGCUCUCUGAGCAAAUCCAAGGAGCGUCAAAGACUCGGAUGUGUGAAGGUGACAGAAACCUUCCCACGCAGACACUGGUGGGAGCAUAAAUAUCCAAAGUAUUUAGGUAAACACUGGGCGGCCCCUCCUCAUCCCAUGGUGUCUGUCUUACCCCCGGGAGACUGUCAGGCGCCUUCCAGACUUGUCGCUACACACAUUCCUUCCAGAAAGCUGAAGAGAGGUGCUUUUGGUCCACUCGAUGCCCGGAGUUCUACUCUUUUCAGUGUUUUGUAGCAGAUCAGUAGCAGAGUCUCAUCAUCAUGCUGUUUCCUGUUUCCUUCAUGAAAAAUCAAGUUGCAAACCUUGUCUCUCUUCUUUGUCUCCCCUUUCAGGCCCCGGGCCCAGGUCUGACUGGUUGCUUUCGUUGCUGUUGCUCAGCUGUAAGUUUCAUGUGUGCUCGUGACAGAAGCCCUUCACCAAACACGGCGUUUGAGAGUGUGUUCUCCACCUCGUGGCUUGUCUGUACGCCCUCAGCGUUCUUGCUGAGCUGUUGUUAUUCACAGAACGCGGCUUUUAAUUCAGAUGCAGAAAAA